GGCUUUUAAAAGCCGAAUCGUACAGCUUAAUUAUGUGUACGUACGGGGGACUAAGCACUUGGGGUGAAUGCUUGCAGGCUGCACGGCUGCGCUAGGGAACAACCUCUUCCCGAACCCGACAACUAACCUCGGAGGCAAAAACAGGAGGGAAC
RNAcentral lists this small RNA (152 nucleotides) under Paenibacillus naphthalenovorans. RNAcentral's name for it is "c-di-AMP sequence". It matches the Rfam family "c-di-AMP riboswitch aptamer (ydaO/yuaA leader)". Rfam says of the family: This family represents a conserved RNA structure found upstream of the ydaO and yuaA genes in Bacillus subtilis and related genes in other bacteria. The ydaO/yuaA element is thought to act as a genetic "off" switch for the ydaO and yuaA genes in its native state. It is believed that the element may be triggered during osmotic shock leading to activation of ydaO, a predicted amino acid transporter gene, and members of the yuaA-yubG operon which code for KtrA and KtrB K+ transporters. Lineage: Bacteria; Bacillati; Bacillota; Bacilli; Caryophanales; Paenibacillaceae. The record is from Rfam by way of RNAcentral.